This 489-nucleotide ribosomal RNA is filed under the name uncultured bacterium. RNAcentral's name for it is "bacterial SSU rRNA". It matches the Rfam family "Bacterial small subunit ribosomal RNA", at positions 28 to 511 of the family's 1533-position model. The record is from RNAcentral.
GAUGAACGCUAGCGGCAGGCCUAACACGUGCAAGUCGAGGGGUAACAGAGGUAGCUUGCUACUUGCUGACGACCGGCGCACGGGUGCGUAACGCGUAUACAAUCUACCUUUUGCUAUUGGAUAGCCCAGAGAAAUUUGGAUUAAUACAAUAUAGUAUCAUAUUACUGCAUGGUAUUUAUGAUUAAAGAUUACGGCAGAAGAUGAGUAUGCGUCCUAUUAGUUAGUUGGUGUGGUAACGGCACGCCAAGACUACGAUAGGUAGGGGCCCUGAGAGGGGGAUCCCCCACACUGGUACUGAGACACGGACCAGACUCCUACGGGAGGCAGCAGUGAGGAAUAUUGGACAAUGGAGGCAACUCUGAUCCAGCCAUGCCGCGUGCAGGAAGACUGCCCUAUGGGUUGUAAACUGCUUUUAUACAGGAAGAAACACUCCCUCGUGAGGGAGCUUGACGGUACUGUAAGAAUAAGGAUCGGCUAACUCCGUGCCAG